CAGCCGUAAACGAUACUCGCUAGGUGUCGGCCACGGUGCGACCGUUGUCGGUGCCGUAGGGAAGCCGUGAAGCGAGCCACCUGGGAAGUACGGCCGCAAGGCUGAAACUUAAAGGAAUUGGCGGGGGAGCACCACAACGGGUGGAGCUUGCGGUUUAAUUGGAUUCAACGCCGGAAAUCUUACCGGGACCGACAGCAACAUGAAGGCCAAGCUGAAGACUUUGCCGAAUUAGCUGAGAGGAGGUGCAUGGCGUAGUCGUGU
This 261-nucleotide ribosomal RNA is filed under the name uncultured archaeon. Its description in RNAcentral is "partial 16S ribosomal RNA". It matches the Rfam family "Archaeal small subunit ribosomal RNA", at positions 748 to 1009 of the family's 1478-position model. The record is from RNAcentral.